Molecule: long non-coding RNA, 544 nt
Organism: Eutrema salsugineum
Lineage: Eukaryota; Viridiplantae; Streptophyta; Magnoliopsida; Brassicales; Brassicaceae
Exons: 4
Source: RefSeq, a predicted model, not a curated record
CGACUGUGCACUUGCAGACACUAGGGUUUAUAAAUUUUAAAAUAUUUUGCGUCAGCAACGCUAGCUUGCAUCAUCAGCUCAGAAGAUGAAUCCCACUAUAGAGCAAGUCUGCCUCCUUCAGGACUGUGAGGGGAAACAAAGUAGUGAUUAUAGUCGUCCAGACAGGAAAACAUUGUAUCGUCCGCGAAAAGGAGGUGAUUAAUCAUGGGACUUCCUUGUGCAACUCUGAUGCUAGGUAAAGUGUCAUCCUUCGGAGCUUUUAAACAUAGACCAGACAGUACUUGUCCACAGAGGAUAAAUAUGAAGGCUGAUUUUCAGAGAUGAUGUCACUCAGAGUAGGCUGUUGCCGCUUGUAUUCCCGAAGAGAAGAAAGUUUGGACCUCUUUGACAAUAGCCGGUCCCACAAUGUCCCAAUUCGACUGAAAGAAAUUGGCAGAGAAACCAUCAGGCCCAGGGGCCUUAUCCGGGUUGAUGGCAAAGGUGGCAUCUUUGACUUCCUCAGGAGAGGGAUCUGAAUUAAGGGCAUCAUUCAUCGAGUUAGAGA